AACGAACGCUGGCGGCAGGCUUAAUACAUGCAAGUCGAACGGGCGCGAGCAAUCGCGUCAGUGGCAGACGGGUGAGUAACACGUGGGAACCUUCCUCGUUGUACGGAACAACUCAGGGAAACUUGAGCUAAUACCGUAUACGUCCGUAAGGAGAAAGAUUCAUCGCCCCUAGACGGCCCGCGUCGGAUUAGGUAGUUGGUGGGGUAACGGGCCUACCAAGCCUACGAUCCGUAGCUGAUCUGAGAGGAUGAUCAGCCACACUGGGACUGAGACACGGCCCAGACUCCUACGGGAGGCAGCAGUGGGGAAGUCUUGGACAAUGGGCGCAAGCCUGAUCCAGCCAUGCCGCGUGAGUGAAGAAGGCCUUAGGGUUGUAAAGCUCUUUUACCAGGGACGAUAAUGACGGUACCUGGAGAAUAAGCCCCCGGCAAACUUCGUGCCAGCAGCCGCUGUAAG
RNAcentral lists this ribosomal RNA (456 nucleotides) under uncultured bacterium. RNAcentral describes it as "bacterial SSU rRNA". It matches the Rfam family "Bacterial small subunit ribosomal RNA", at positions 29 to 524 of the family's 1533-position model. The record is from RNAcentral.